RNAcentral lists this ribosomal RNA (818 nucleotides) under uncultured Actinomycetales bacterium. RNAcentral's name for it is "bacterial SSU rRNA". It matches the Rfam family "Bacterial small subunit ribosomal RNA", at positions 28 to 850 of the family's 1533-position model. Lineage: Bacteria; Bacillati; Actinomycetota; Actinomycetes; Actinomycetales. The record is from RNAcentral.
GACGAACGCUGGCGGCGCGCCUAACACAUGCAAGUCGAGCGAACCCAUCCCGGGGGCAACCCCGGGUGAAGGUUAGCGGCGAACGGGUGAGUAACACGUGAGGAACGUACCCCAGACUUCGGGAUAACAGCGGGAAACCGCUGCUAAUACCGGAUACGCUCCUGCCAUCGCAUGGCGGCGGGAGGAAAGGUCUGCCGGUCCGGGAUCGCCUCGCGGCCCAUCAGCUUGUUGGUGGGGUAACGGCCCACCAAGGCUUCGACGGGUAGCUGGCGUGAGAGCGCGACCAGCCACACUGGGACUGAGACACGGCCCAGACUCCUACGGGAGGCAGCAGUGGGGAAUCUUGCGCAAUGGGCGAAAGCCUGACGCAGCGACGCCGCGUGAGGGAUGAAGGCUCUCGGGUUGUAAACCUCUUUCAGCGGGGACGAAGCGAAAGUGACGGUACCCGCAGAAGAAGCCCCGGCCAACUACGUGCCAGCAGCCGCGGUAAUACGUAGGGGGCGAGCGUUGUCCGGAUUUAUUGGGCGUAAAGGGCUCGUAGGCGGCCUUGCAAGUCGGGCGUAAAAGUCCAGGGCUCAACCCUGGGAUGUCGUUCGAUACUGCGAGGCUAGAGGCCGGUAGGGGGAUCUGGAAUUCCUGGUGUAGCGGUGAAAUGCGCAGAUAUCAGGAGGAACACCGGUGGCGAAGGCGGGAUCCUGGGCCGGACCUGACGCUGAUGAGCGAAAGCUGGGGGAGCGAACAGGAUUAGAUACCCUGGUAGUCCCAGCCGUAAACGAUGGUGCUAGGUGUGGGAGGCUAUCGACGUCUUCCGUGCCGCA